This is an RNA transcript of Mytilus californianus (California mussel), 6657 nucleotides long. It is a transcript of the gene named F-box/WD repeat-containing protein 5-like, with no coding region annotated. Lineage: Eukaryota; Metazoa; Mollusca; Bivalvia; Mytilida; Mytilidae. The record is from RefSeq and is a predicted model, not a curated record. The transcript has 10 exons.
UGGAAGUAAAAUAAAUCGAUCAACAGACUCAAGAGUGGAAACAAAGACAUAAUUUACAUCUCUUGCACCUAUGAUGUUAUAGAUCACCACGUUAUAAAACUGUUCUAUCUUUUGGAUAUAUUGGACAGUCGAUCAUAUAUCUGAACUUCUAUAUUACACUUGGAACUUGACAUCCAGGAGGGCCGAUUCAGGAAAGAAGUAUUUUUUUAAUGAUGGACUUGCCAACAUGACUAAUGGAUGAUAUGCCUAUAGCCUGUAUCUGGGAAAGUAUUCCUGAUGAUAUUAUACUCCACAUAUUUUCUUUCCUCCCAGCAGCAUCAUUGCUACAGGCUGCUCAAGUGUGCAGAUGCUGGUACAGAGUAAGCAGAGAUGAACUGCUGUGGAAGGAUGUAUUUUACAGGCAUUGGAAAAUUGAUAAAAAUAUACCAAUGGCACCUGGAAUGUCAUCUUGGUUACAGGAAUAUAAACGUCUUCAUUACCACACCCCUGCUGUAGAGAGUGAAGUGAUCAGACAACAUACAGAUCAAGUUUUACAUGUCAGCUUCUCACACAAUGGAAAGAUGUUUGCUACUAGUUCAAAAGACGGGUUUAUUAAGGUUUGGAAUACAACAUAUCCUAUAUCCCUAAAGUAUAAGGAGAAUAUGAAACGUUUUACUUGGAAGUAUACACAGUUCUCACAGUUCAAUGAGAGUGAUACACUUCUGCUAGUUUCUGGGGUUCAUUUUGGUUCCAACAGCACAUCAGGAGAAAUAGCUGUGUUUUCACUACAGGGUAAUUUUGAACUACAAGCUCGUGUUAUCAACAAACCAUAUGAUGUAUUUGGUACUUGGUAUAAUGAUAGUCAUUUAGUAUCUGGAAGCCUUCAUUGGACAGGACAAUUACAGUCUUGUUCUGUUUUAUGGCUUAAUAAGGCUUUUCAAGACACAGAAAAUGAACAUGAAUCAGUGGUGAUGAGAUUAUAUAAACUGAAAAAUAUUAAUGCUAGUUCAGUUCGGACUGUUAUGGUUGCUAGCUGUCGAGAGGUCAUGGAAACAGAUGACAAAGAAGAGACUGGAAAAGGGAGCAAACGUGUACAGGAUAAAACUGAAAGAGACAAUAAUGAGAGCUCUUCCAAAAUUGCUAAGAAAAAUAAAGAGAAAUUUCUAGGAACUAUUGAGUAUAAACAAGAAUAUCGUGAUGCUGAGAAAAGUCAUAAGAAAUUUCCUCAAAAGUCUGAAAACAGUAAAAUGUCAAAUCAGUGUAGUAGUAAUCACAGUUCUUUUUCAGAAGAUGAUUUGAUUAGACAGCUAAGUGACAAUGAAAUGCCUAAUUUGAAUAAUCAAAAUCCGAUAAGAGGCACUGAGGAUAAAGAUAUCUCUAUGCCGGAUGUAGAUAAACUAGUUGAAAAAACAACUAAAUGUGUCUCUUUGUCUUCAGAAACAAUAGAUACUUCCAUUAGUGGUAAUUCAGUUAAUCCUACCAAUGGUUCGAUCCUUGAUACAUCUAACAGAAACAACUCCGCUCAGAAUUCCAGUUCUAGUCAGUGUGCCUGUGGGAGUUCAUGUUCCUGCCAUGGUGGCAUGUACUUAGAUGGAGCCACAUUUGGUUCACCUAUCCAGUCACAUUUCUUUAGGAGUAAUGACCACAGGGUGGCAUUGGAUGAUUGGAAUCCUACGUCUUCUCUUCAUAUGGGAGAUACAAGCAUAACUUACCCAAACUUUAUAACUGCUGACUCUUCUAGUCCACAGAAAGGGAACAUUUUAGAUAAAUUCUUAAUAUUUACACAGGGUUCUAAGACAUACACACCACAUCAGAUUGGAAUUAAGAGAAUUAAGCCAUUGGAAAAGAUAUUGGGAGAUGAAAGACCACUUUUACCAGAUAUUGAAUUCAAUUCUCCUGCAUUGGAAUCUAUAGCAUAUGAUAAACUUGAUAAAGUUAUAGACAUGCAUGGUCAUAUCAUAGGAUUAGCCUUAUCUCCUGAUCAUAGGUACCUGUAUGUGAACUGUCGACCUUGGCCAAAGGAUUAUGACAUACAAAAUCCAUUAGCUCCACCACCUAUUGCUCAGGAGAUUGAUAUCCAUGUGAUAGACUUACUGAGAUUGACAGAAGUUGGUACAAUGUAUAGAGCACACAAAGCUUACACUCCUAAUGAUGAAUGUUUCUUCAUUUUCCUGGAUGUUAGUCAGCAGUAUGUUGCCAGUGGAGCUGAAGAUAAACAUGGAUAUAUAUGGGAUCGCCAUUAUGGAGUUUGUCUUAGUAAGUUUCGUCAUGAAGACGUAGUAAACUGUGUAGCAUUCAGUCCGAGCGACUCAGAAAUUUUAGUUACUGUUAGUGAUGACUGCACUAUUAAGAUAUGGCGUUCACUGAAUCGUGAAAAACAUAUGAAAUUCACUGGUUUGUUUAAUCCUGGACUAUAUAUGUGAUAUUUGUCAUAAUAUAAUACUAUAGAAAUACAGAUGAACCUAUAUCAUAUAUUAAGAAAACAUGGUGCUUAAUAUUUGUGAUAUUUUGCUAUGAUUUAGAUUAUUUAAAUGUACAAAAACCAAAGAUCUUGUAUGUUGAUAUAUGACUUGCUUGUAUAACAAUGUAAAUAUGAUAAAGCUGUACAUAUAUGUCAAGUAUAUAAUUUCUGUUUCUUCCAGGUAAGGGUUUUCUAGAAAUGAAUGUAAUUGGGAGUGAGGAAUUGUCAGGAGGCACAAUGUGUUUACCCUACCGUACAAAGAAAUUUUCAUUGAUUAGUUUAUUAUCUUUUUAUACCUUUUUAUACGACCGCAAAAAAGUUUUGUGGUCGUAUAUUGGUAUGACGUUGGUGUCGUCGGCGACGUCCGAAGACACAUUGGUUUUCGCACUCUAACUUUAGUUUAAGUGAAUGGAUCUCUAUGAAAUUUUACCAUAAGGUUCAAUACCACAAAAGGAAGGUUGGGAUUGAUUUUGGGGGUUAUGGUACCAACAGUAAAGGAAUUAGGGGCCAAAAAUAAGCAUUUUUGUAACUUCCAGACAUAACUUGUGUGUUAGGGUAUGGAUCUCUCUGACAUUGUACCACAAGGUUCCAUAUCACAAAGGGAAUGCUGGGAUUGAUUUUGGGGGUAAUUGCCUCCAAAUUUAAGGAAUUAGGGGCCAAAAAGGGGCAAAAAACAAGCAGUUUUCUAGUUUCAUGACAAUAACUUGUGUGUAAGUGUAUGGAUCUUUAUGAAAUUGUAAUACAAGGUUCCAUAUCACAAAGGGAAAGCUGGAAUUGAGUUUGGGGGUAAUUGCCCAAAAUGUUUAGGAAUUUGGGGCCAAAAAGGGGCCAAAAAUAAGCAUUUUUCUAGUUUCCAGACAAUAACUUGUGUUGAAGUGUAUGGAUCUCUCUGAAAUUGUACUGCAAGGUACCAUACCACAAAGGGAAGGCUGGGAUUGAUUUUGGGGGUAAUUGCCUUAAAAUUGUAGGAAUUAGGGGCCAUAAAGGGGCCAAAAAUAAGCAUUUUCUAGUUUCCAGACAAUAACUGUGGAACAGUGUAUGGAUCUCUCUGAAAUUAUACUACAAGUUUCCAUACCACAAAGGGAUGGUUAGGAUUUGCUUUGGGGGUUAUGGCUCAAACCGUUUAGGAAUUAGGGGCAAAAAAGAGGGAAAAACAAGGUUGUCCUGGUUAAUGGACAAAUACUUUAGUACAAAACAUAAUUUAAAGCAGUGUAAGGGAGAUAAAUCAAAUACAUCAUUGAAAUUAUCUCCCUUACACUGCUUUUAAAUUAUGUAUAAAGUAAUGGUUAAUGAACAAUAAAGAUAAUUUAAAACAGUGUAAGGGAGGUAAUCCAAAUACAACGUUUUGGUUACUUCCCUUACACUGCUUUUAAAUUAUGUUUAAAGAAAUGCAUAUUUAUAAAGGAAGACCAGUAAAAAUAUCUGCAAAUGUUGCAUCUUUUUUUUUUACAAAAAAAUCCAUAUGAAAGAUUUGACACUAUUUUUAAUUCUAUUAUAAAAUAGAUUAAGUUAGCACUAUGGUAAAUUAAAAUGGGUAAUUAUGGUUGCCAACUCCAUUGGAAAUUUGAAUUGAGAUUAUGACCAUAUCUUGAGGGAAAGAAUUUUUUGGGGGAAAAAAGGGGGGGGGGGAUAAAAAGAAAUUGUGGGGGGUCAAUUUUUUCUCAUUUCAGAUUUCAGAAAUUAAAAAGAAUUAUUCUUCAAAUAUUAUUUUUUUUUCAAAUUUCAAAUAUUGAAAAAUUUCAAGAAGUAAUCUUUAAUUGCACAGUAUGGCGCAUUAGAUUUGUAAAAUCUUUGAUCACAUUUAUUUAUUUGUUAUGCCGAAUCUAACAGUUUAUUUAGAUUUUUAAUUUUGGGUCCAGUUUUCAAAUUGGUCUACAUUAAGGUCCAAAGGGUCCAAAAUUAAACUUUGUUUGAUUUUAGCAAUAAUUGAAUAUAUGAGGUUCUUUCAUAUGCUGAAUCUAAACAUGUAUUUAGAUUUUUGAUUUUUUGGCCCAGUUUUCAAGUUGGUCCAAAUUGGGGUCCAAAAUUAAACUUUGUUUGAUUUCAACAAAAAUUGAAUAUAUGGGGUUCUUUGAUAUGCUGAAUCUAACCAUGUAUUUAGAUUUUUUAUUUGUGGACCCCGUUAUCAAAUUGGUUCAUAUUGAGGUCAAAAGGGUCCAAAAUUAAACUUUGUCUGAUUUCAUCAAAAAUUGAUUUAUUGGGGUUCUUUGAUAUUCCAAAUCUAACCAUGUAUUUAGAUUUUUAAUUUUGGGUCCUGUUUUUUAAAUUGGUCUACAUUAAGGUCCAAAGGGUCCAAAAUUAAACUUAGUUUGAUUUUAACAAAAAUUGAAUUCUUGGGGUUCUUUGAUAUGCUGAAUCUAAACAUGUGUUUAGAUUUUUGAUUAUGGGCCCAGUUUUCAAGUUUGUCCAAGUUGGGGUCCAAAAUUAAACUUUGUUUGAUUUCAACAAAAAUUGAAUAUAUGGGGUUCUUUGAUAUGCUGAAUCUAAACAUGUAUUUAGAUUUUUGAUUAUGGGCCCAGUUUUCAAGUUGGUCCAAAUUGGGGUCCAAAAUUAAACUUUGUUUGAUUUCAACAAAAAUUGAAUAUAUGAGGUUCUUUGAUAUGCUGAAUCUAACCAUGUAUUUAGAUUUUUUAUUUGUGGGCCCCGCUAUCAAAUUGGUUCAUAUUGAGGUCAAAAGGGUCCAAAAUUAAACUUUGUUUGAUUUCAUCAAAAAUUGAAUUAUUGGGGUUCUUUGAUAUGCCAAAUCUAACCGUGUUUUUAGAUUUUUAAUUUGGGUCCCGUUUUUUAAAUUGGUCUUCAUUGAGGUCCAAAGGGUCCAAAAUUAAACUUAGUUUGAUUUUAACAAAAAUUGAAUUCUUGGGGUUCUUUGAUAUGCUGAAUCUAAACAUGUGUUUAGAUUUUUGAUUAUGGGCCCAGUUUUCAAGUUUGUCCAAGUUGGGGUCCAAAAUUAAACUUUUUUUGAUUUCAACAAAAAUUGAAUAUAUGGGGUUCUUUGAUAUGCUGAAUCUAACCAUGAAUUUAGAUUUUUUAUUUGUGGGCCCCGCUAUCAAAUUGGUUCAUAUUGAGGUCAAAAGGGUCCAAAAUUAAACUUUGUUUGAUUUCAUCAAAAAUUGAAUUAUUGGGGUUCUUUGAUAUGCCAAAUCUAACCGUGUUUUUAGAUUUUUAAUUUGGGUCCCGUUUUUUAAAUUGGUCUUCAUUGAGGUCCAAAGGGUCCAAAAUUAAACUUAGUUUGAUUUUAACAAAAAUUGAAUUCUUGGGGUUCUUUGAUAUGCUGAAUCUAAACAUGUAUUUAGAUUUUUGAUUAUGGGCCCAGUUUUCAAGUUGGUCCAAGUUGGGGUCCAAAAUUAAACUUUUUUUGAUUUCAACAAAAAUUGAAUAUAUGGGGUUCUUUGAUAUGCUGAAUCUAACCAUGAAUUUAGAAUUUUUAUUUGUGGGCCCCGCUAUCAAAUUGGUUCAUAUUGAGGUCAAAAGGGUCCAAAAUUAAACUUUGUUUGAUUUCAUCAAAAAUUGAAUUAUUGGGGUUCUUUGAUAUUCCAAAUCUAACCGUGUAUUUAGAUUUUUAAUUUUAAGUCCCGUUUUUUAAAUUGGUCUACAUUAAGGUCCAAAGGGUCCAAAAUUAAACUUAGUUUGAUUUUAGCAAAAAUUGAAUUCUUGGGGUUCUUUGAUAUGCUGAAUCUAAACAUGUGUUUAGAUUUUUUAUUAUGGGCCCAGUUUUCAAGUUUGUCCAAGUUGGAGUCCAAAAUUAAACUUUGUUUGAUUUUAACAAAAAUUGAAUAUAUGGUGUUCUUUGAUAUGCUGAAUCUAACCAUGUAUUUUGAUUUUGGACAUUGGACCAUAAUAGGUAAAUUAAAAAAAUUCAAGUUCUUAGACCACAUUCUUUCUGUGUCAGAAACCUAUGCUGUGUCAAAUAUUUAAUAACAAUCCAAAUUCAGAGCUGUAUCAAGCUUGAAUGUUGUGUCCAUACUUGCCCCAACUGUUCAGGGUUCGACCUCUGCGGUCGUAUCAAGCUGCGCCCCAGCGAAGCAUUUUAUUGAUUAUGGGCCCAGUUUUCAAGUUUGUCCAAGUUGGGGUCCAAAAUUAAACUUUGUUUGAUUUUAACAAAAAUUGAAUAUAUGGGGUUCUUUGAUAUGCUGAAUCUAACCAUGUAUUUUGAUUUUGGACAUUGGACCAUAAUAGGUAAAUUAAAAAAAUUCAAGUUCUUAGACCAUAUUCUUUCU